AACAAAAACAAACAGCAGCUUCCUCCCCUUCUUUUCUUAGCUGUCACAGAAAUAGCAGCAGCCAGCCCGAGCCGCACAGCUGCUCCCGCAGAGACGCACAGAGAUGGAGGCCGAGAUACGGGGAGGCGGGCUGGGGGAGGCGGAGAGGGGGGAGAGACAGAGGCGCCGGGUUUUUGUGUGAUGCUUUUUCACCGUGGGGACAGGGGGCCACGGUGAUACAACCCCAUAGAGGCGCCGUACAAAAACCUCCUCCCAUUAACAUCCAUUAUGUAGACGGCUGAGUGGAUCUCAGAGCGCCUCAGAGAGCAGGAAAAUGAAUCAUGUGAAGCGUGUCUGAAGAAGAUGAUUCUGGAAGCUUUUUGGACUUUUUGGUGGAUGAGAAAUUCACUGUGACACUGGAUCUGAAGCUUACUUUGGAAAAGGAACAAGACUCACAGUUUUGGGUAAGUUGGA
Long non-coding RNA from Fundulus heteroclitus (mummichog), 453 nucleotides. RefSeq lists it as uncharacterized. The record is from RefSeq and is a predicted model, not a curated record. Lineage: Eukaryota; Metazoa; Chordata; Actinopteri; Cyprinodontiformes; Fundulidae. The transcript has 2 exons.